Molecule: ribosomal RNA, 1216 nt
Filed under: Pseudarthrobacter chlorophenolicus
Lineage: Bacteria; Bacillati; Actinomycetota; Actinomycetes; Micrococcales; Micrococcaceae
Description: bacterial SSU rRNA
Rfam family: Bacterial small subunit ribosomal RNA
Source: RNAcentral
UGCAAGUCGAACGAUGAAGGGAGCUUGCUCCUGGAUUAGUGGCGAACGGGUGAGUAACACGUGAGUAACCUGCCCUUGACUCUGGGAUAAGCCUGGGAAACUGGGUCUAAUACCGGAUAUGACUGACUAUCGCAUGGUGGUUGGUGGAAAGCUUUUGUGGUUUUGGAUGGACUCGCGGCCUAUCAGCUUGUUGGUGGGGUAAUGGCCUACCAAGGCGACGACGGGUAGCCGGCCUGAGAGGGUGACCGGCCACACUGGGACUGAGACACGGCCCAGACUCCUACGGGAGGCAGCAGUGGGGAAUAUUGCACAAUGGGCGCAAGCCUGAUGCAGCGACGCCGCGUGAGGGAUGACGGCCUUCGGGUUGUAAACCUCUUUCAGUAGGGAAGAAGCGUAAGUGACGGUACCUGCAGAAGAAGCGCCGGCUAACUACGUGCCAGCAGCCGCGGUAAUACGUAGGGCGCAAGCGUUAUCCGGAAUUAUUGGGCGUAAAGAGCUCGUAGGCGGUUUGUCGCGUCUGCCGUGAAAGUCCGGGGCUCAACUCCGGAUCUGCGGUGGGUACGGGCAGACUAGAGUGAUGUAGGGGAGACUGGAAUUCCUGGUGUAGCGGUGAAAUGCGCAGAUAUCAGGAGGAACACCGAUGGCGAAGGCAGGUCUCUGGGCAUUAACUGACGCUGAGGAGCGAAAGCAUGGGGAGCGAACAGGAUUAGAUACCCUGGUAGUCCAUGCCGUAAACGUUGGGCACUAGGUGUGGGGGACAUUCCACGUUUUCCGCGCCGUAGCUAACGCAUUAAGUGCCCCGCCUGGGGAGUACGGCCGCAAGGCUAAAACUCAAAGGAAUUGACGGGGGCCCGCACAAGCGGCGGAGCAUGCGGAUUAAUUCGAUGCAACGCGAAGAACCUUACCAAGGCUUGACAUGAACCGGACCGCCGUAGAAAUGUGGUUUCCCCUUUGGGGCUGGUUUACAGGUGGUGCAUGGUUGUCGUCAGCUCGUGUCGUGAGAUGUUGGGUUAAGUCCCGCAACGAGCGCAACCCUCGUUCUAUGUUGCCAGCACGUGAUGGUGGGGACUCAUAGGAGACUGCCGGGGUCAACUCGGAGGAAGGUGGGGACGACGUCAAAUCAUCAUGCCCCUUAUGUCUUGGGCUUCACGCAUGCUACAAUGGCCGGUACAAAGGGUUGCGAUACUGUGAGGUGGAGCUAAUCCCAAAAAGCCGG